Molecule: non-coding RNA, 245 nt
Filed under: Lentilactobacillus curieae
Lineage: Bacteria; Bacillati; Bacillota; Bacilli; Lactobacillales; Lactobacillaceae
Description: Lactobacillus curieae T-box sequence
Rfam family: T-box leader
About the family: Uncharged tRNA acts as the effector for transcription antitermination of genes in the T-box leader family. T-boxes are found upstream of many aminoacyl-tRNA synthetase genes and some amino acid biosynthetic genes usually in Gram-positive bacteria. The anticodon of a specific tRNA base pairs to a specifier sequence within the T-box motif, and the NCCA acceptor tail of the tRNA base pairs to a conserved bulge in the T-box antiterminator hairpin.
Source: RNAcentral
GCAAACGCGAUGAGAAAGCUUAGUACCGUAAUGAUAAUUGUGAAGCGAGCUUCGUUAGGUGAGAGGAAGCACAAUUGAUUUAUGGGAAUAUCCCUUUCGAGCGAUGCACCAAAACAAAAGUAACGUGCAUUGGUGGCACCCAUUAUAGUGCUGGCGUAUCGCCCAUAGUGGCCGUACGCGAGAGGUGACAUUAGUGAUAGUGUCAUGAAUUAAGGUGGUACCGUGCAGGUAGAAGCACCCUUAGU